Molecule: long non-coding RNA, 243 nt
Filed under: Lathyrus oleraceus (garden pea)
Lineage: Eukaryota; Viridiplantae; Streptophyta; Magnoliopsida; Fabales; Fabaceae
Description: Pisum sativum (pea) long non-coding RNA (PSAT_LNC011805)
Source: RNAcentral
UUGUUCCUUCCGCAUGAGGCAUCAGAAUUAGAGGUUCCUGCCACUUAUUCUUUUAUCUUUCAAUGCCCCUUGGCAAUCAUUAUCCACCUGACCGUUUGCUCCCUUUUUCUUGAAUGGGUUCCCACGUGGCCAUCAGAUGAGAUAUGAACCAUGAAAUGCAAUUCAAUCUAUCUAAGAAACCACAAACCUUCUUUUGUUUUUGGUUCAGGCAUUUCUCGUAUUGCUUUUUCUUUUUCUUUUUUU